This 301-nucleotide ribosomal RNA is filed under the name uncultured bacterium. RNAcentral describes it as "partial 16S ribosomal RNA". It matches the Rfam family "Bacterial small subunit ribosomal RNA", at positions 509 to 807 of the family's 1533-position model. The record is from RNAcentral.
CAGCAGCCGCGGUAAUACAGAGGGUGCAAGCGUUAAUCGGAAUUACUGGGCGUAAAGCGUGCGUAGGCGGCUUUUUAAGUCGGAUGUGAAAUCCCUGAGCUUAACUUAGGAAUUGCAUUCGAUACUGGGAAGCUAGAGUAUGGGAGAGGAUGGUAGAAUUCCAGGUGUAGCGGUGAAAUGCGUAGAGAUCUGGAGGAAUACCGAUGGCGAAGGCAGCCAUCUGGCCUAAUACUGACGCUGAGGUACGAAAGCAUGGGGAGCAAACAGGAUUAGAUACCCCGGUAGUCCCUGUCUCUUAUAC